RNAcentral lists this ribosomal RNA (460 nucleotides) under uncultured bacterium. RNAcentral's name for it is "partial 16S ribosomal RNA". It matches the Rfam family "Bacterial small subunit ribosomal RNA", at positions 338 to 795 of the family's 1533-position model. The record is from RNAcentral.
CCUACGGGCGGCAGCAGUGAGGAAUAUUGGUCAAUGGGCGGAAGCCUGAACCAGCCAAGUAGCGUGCAGGAUGAAGGCCCUACGGGUCGUAAACCGCUUUUACACGGGGAUAACACCCCCCACUUGUGGAGGUCUGCAGGUACCGUGCGAAUAAGGGCCGGCUAAUUCCGUGCCAGCAGCCGCGGUAAUACGGAAGGCCCGAGCGUUAUCCGGAUUUAUUGGGGUUAAAGGGAGCGUAGGCGGGCUGUCAAGUCAGGUGUAAAAUCCGCGGGCUCAACCCGGGCCGGGCAGUGGAAACUGGCGGGCUUGAGUUCACAAAAGGCAGGCGGAAUUCGUGGUGUAGCGGUGAAAUGCAUAGAUAUCACGAGGAACCCCGAUUGCGAAGGCAGCCUGCUGGGGUGCGACUGACGCUGAGGCUCGAAGGUGCGGGUAUCAAACAGGAUUAGAUACCCGAGUAGUC